UACGUAGGGUGCGAGCGUUAAUCGGAAUUACUGGGCGUAAAGCGUGCGCAGGCGGUUAGCCGUGUCCGAUGUGAAAGCCCCGGGCUCAACCUGGGAAUGGCAUUGGAAACUGGCUGGCUGGAGUGUGGCAGAGGGGGUGGAAUUCCGACGUGUAGCAGUGAAAUGCGUAGAGAGUGUGGAGGAACACCGAUGGCGAAAGGCAGCCCCCUGGCCAACACUGACGCUCAGGCACGAAAGCGUGGGGAGCAAACAGG
This 254-nucleotide ribosomal RNA is filed under the name uncultured bacterium. Its description in RNAcentral is "partial 16S ribosomal RNA". It matches the Rfam family "Bacterial small subunit ribosomal RNA", at positions 524 to 776 of the family's 1533-position model. The record is from RNAcentral.